AGAACAUGCAAGAUGAGAUGAUGGAUCUGAUGGAUGUGUGCAACGAAAUCCAAGAAUCUCUUGGAAGAAGCUACAGUUUACCCAAUGACAUUGACGAGGAUGAACUUUUGUGUGAGCUUGAUGCUUUGGAAGCGGACAUGGGAACGGAGACAGAAUCUGAGGGCGUGCCGGUGUAUCGUCAAACUGAUAAGUAACCAGAUUUGGAUGCUGAACUCAAUUUGCCUUCGGCGCCAUCAGGGCAUGCAGCAGGGCCCAACAGACAGAAUGCCCAGGUAAAUUCAUCAUCAGUAAUUUUAUCCACAUCAUUGUCUUCAUAAAUUGAAGGAGAUUUUGCUGAUGGCUACCUCUAAUUGUAGGUAAUCAAAUAUGGGAAGAGGCAAUAUAUGAACCUUGAGCAGAGGAUAUGCACAGUUUGGUUCAGUGAUCCAGAUAAUCUGU
Molecule: long non-coding RNA, 438 nt
Organism: Magnolia sinica
Lineage: Eukaryota; Viridiplantae; Streptophyta; Magnoliopsida; Magnoliales; Magnoliaceae
Exons: 3
Source: RefSeq, a predicted model, not a curated record